Molecule: ribosomal RNA, 450 nt
Filed under: uncultured bacterium
Lineage: Bacteria
Description: partial 16S ribosomal RNA
Rfam family: Bacterial small subunit ribosomal RNA
Source: RNAcentral
GUGGGGAAUAUUGGACAAUGGGCGAAAGCCUGAUCCAGCCAUGCCGCGUGUGUGAAGAAGGUCUUCGGAUUGUAAAGCACUUUAAGUUGGGAGGAAGGGUAGUAACCUAAUACGUUGCUACUUUGACGUUACCGACAGAAUAAGCACCGGCUAACUUCGUGCCAGCAGCCGCGGUAAUACGAAGGGUGCAAGCGUUAAUCGGAAUUACUGGGCGUAAAGCGCGCGUAGGUGGUUCAGUAAGUUGGAGGUGAAAUCCCCGGGCUCAACCUGGGAACUGCCUCCAAAACUGCAUGACUAGAGUACGGUAGAGGGUAGUGGAAUUUCCUGUGUAGCGGUGAAAUGCGUAGAUAUAGGAAGGAACACCAGUGGCGAAGGCGACUACCUGGACUGAUACUGACACUGAGGUGCGAAAGCGUGGGGAGCAAACAGGAUUAGAAACCCGGGUAGUCC